UCACAGGAAAGGUGAAAUGUAGUUGAUAAAGCUGCCCAAUAAUCAGAAAUGGUAGAAACUGACAAUCCAUGAUGGGAAAAAAGGCCA
Molecule: long non-coding RNA, 87 nt
Organism: Limulus polyphemus (Atlantic horseshoe crab)
Lineage: Eukaryota; Metazoa; Arthropoda; Merostomata; Xiphosura; Limulidae
Exons: 3
Source: RefSeq, a predicted model, not a curated record